This is a long non-coding RNA of Micropterus dolomieu (smallmouth bass), 1060 nucleotides long. RefSeq lists it as uncharacterized. Lineage: Eukaryota; Metazoa; Chordata; Actinopteri; Centrarchiformes; Centrarchidae. The transcript is spliced from 2 exons. The record is from RefSeq and is a predicted model, not a curated record.
AACAACACACGUUAUGGCAAGUUACUCAUGAGUUAAUAAUAACAGAAGUUAUAAAAGUUUUUUGAACCAAUAGCAGCUUGACAGUAAGCAGAUUAGUAAAAGAACAGCAAUGACUGCUGGAUACAGAAAAGAAAAGUGCAGUUGAAACAGCCUACUGAAGUAUUAUGAUAAUAAAGGAAAUUUAGUUCAGAAUAACAGGCUGAAGACACGUUUUGGUCGAGGAGAAGGAACAAAACUAGAAAAAUGAUGACAUCUGAUAAAGUUUGCAAAUUUAUUGAAACAUAGAAGUUCAGAUUGAUAAGCAGCAAUGUGAGGUGUUAUCUAUGAAGGAUUUAAGUUAGAGAAGGGAUUGAGAGCCAUCAAUUUUCUAUUAGAUGUGAGAAAAUCAAUUUGAUAUUUUAAUAGUUAUUUUUAGCAAACUCUGCUUUGAUGGUUUUUCAGUUGAAUAGCUCUUUGAUAUAGAAACAAGGGGAGCUGCCUGAGUUUCUUUCAAUGAAUUGUUUCAUUCUAGUUUCUUGGUCGUGUGGCUUUACAAUUAAAUGUCAUUUUCCUUUUCGAGGCAUGAAGGCCGACCAAAUUCUAAAGUUUCCAGAGAGUAAGUGUUUGCUCGCAGUGAGUGUGCGAUGGCUGUCCUGGGAGGCACACAGCAGGUGAAAUUAAAUGGUAAAGAGCAGAAAAAAGAAAUAUUAGCUGCAAAGGUGGUCAAAGGAGGGAGCUGUGGCAGCAACAUAUGUGGUAACAGUACAACUAAGUAGUUAAAGAUAAAAUAAAAGACGUCAGAUAAGAGAUAGAGAAAACUCAGAAUGAAGGGAAAAUAGGGAGAAACAGUUUGACCAACAGGUAGAUAAUAUUGACAUACUAUAUAGCCUUUAGUGAAGGAAAAGUAGUCACUGAGACAGAAUAAUGAAAGAGCCCAUCCUGUUAGAUAAGGUCUAAAUAGAUAUACCCCCAGAUGAAGAAACGUAUACAGCAAGUGGAAGAAAGAUAUAAGUAAGUGCAGUCAAGGGCCAGUACAGGCAGAAGAAGAAGAAAAAAGAAUUAGGGUCUUUAAAGGGUUGAG